This is a long non-coding RNA of Ochotona princeps (American pika), 347 nucleotides long. RefSeq lists it as uncharacterized. Lineage: Eukaryota; Metazoa; Chordata; Mammalia; Lagomorpha; Ochotonidae. The transcript has 3 exons. The record is from RefSeq and is a predicted model, not a curated record.
CCCGCGCAUGCCCUUCCUCUGGAGGCCGGGCUCUGGGCCGGCUUCGAGGUGGGGCCGGGCGGCGCUGACGUCACCCUGCGCCUCCGGGCGCCUGCGGAGUCUCCGCCUGGAUCUUGGGGCCAUGUUUUCCUGAGAUGGAGAACCAGGGGCAGAGAAGUUGGCACAGUCAGAAUUCUACACAUGCAGUCUGCUGCAGAGUCCAAGCCCUUAACCAUCCAACUCCAGCUUCCCAAAAUGUUAUCAUCUGCUCAUAAGUUGCUUCUCUGUGUAUGCACUGCCAAGUCCCACCUCAACCAUCAUCAGAUGCCAGAUCAGUGAGACCACCUGGCCCUGGGCUAUGAACCUCU